UGAGGGAUAUUGGGCAAUGGGGGAAACCCUGACCCAGCGACGCCGCGUGAGGGAAGACGGUCUUCGGAUUGUAAACCUCUGUCUUUGGGGACGAAAAAGGGACGGUACCCAAGGAGGAAGCUCCGGCUAACUACGUGCCAGCAGCCGCGGUAAUACGUAGGGAGCGAGCGUUGUCCGGAAUUACUGGGUGUAAAGGGAGCGUAGGCGGGAAGGCAAGUUGGAUGUGAAAACUGUGGGCUCAACCGACAGACUGCAUUCAAAACUGUUUUUUCUUGAGUGAAGUAGAGGCAAGCGGAAUUCCUAGUGUAGCGGUGAAAUGCGUAGAUAUUAGGAGGAACACCAGUGGCGAAGGCGGCUUGCUGGGCUUUUACUGACGCUGAGGCUCGAAAGUGUGGGGAGCAAACAGGAUUAGAUACC
RNAcentral lists this ribosomal RNA (417 nucleotides) under uncultured bacterium. RNAcentral describes it as "bacterial SSU rRNA". It matches the Rfam family "Bacterial small subunit ribosomal RNA", at positions 355 to 786 of the family's 1533-position model. The record is from RNAcentral.